AACGAACGCUGGCGGCGCGUCUUAAGCAUGCAAGUCGAACGGCAAGAGAAGAGCUUGCUCUUCUCCUAGAGUGGCGGACUGGUGAGUAACACGUGGGUGAUCUACCCUUGAGAUGGGGAUAGCCGUUAGAAAUAGCGGGUAAUACCGAAUACCCUCACGUUCAUAAAGGGAUGUGAGGAAAGGAAGCUACGGCUUCGCUCGAGGAUGAGCCUGCGUCCCAUUAGCUAGUUGGUGAGGUAAAGGCCCACCAAGGCGACGAUGGGUAUCCGGCCUGAGAGGGUGAUCGGACACAUUGGGACUGAGAUACGGCCCAAACUCCUACGGGAGGCAGCAGCUAAGAAUAUUCCGCAAUGGACGGAAGUCUGACGGAGCGACGCCGCGUGGAUGAAGAAGGCUGAAAAGUUGUAAAAUCCUUUUGCUGAUGAAGAAUAAGGGUAGGAGGGAAUGCCUAUCUGAUGACGGUAAUCGGCGAAUAAGCCCCG
RNAcentral lists this ribosomal RNA (482 nucleotides) under Treponema sp. oral taxon A31. Its description in RNAcentral is "bacterial SSU rRNA". It matches the Rfam family "Bacterial small subunit ribosomal RNA", at positions 29 to 495 of the family's 1533-position model. Lineage: Bacteria; Pseudomonadati; Spirochaetota; Spirochaetia; Treponematales; Treponemataceae. The record is from RNAcentral.